UAGGUCGACCCGCUGAAUUUAAGCAUAUCACUAAGCGGAGGAAAAGAAACUAACCAGGAUUCCCCUAGUAACGGCGAGUGAAGAGGGAAAAGCCCAGCACCGAAGCCUGCGGCAGUUUUGCUGCUAGGCAAUGUGGUGUUUAGGUCGGCUCGUGGGAUCGCCACUCCACUCGAAGUCCAGCAUUGAGUAUGGUUCCCAGGAAUUGGCCCAUAGAGGGUGAAAGGCCCGUACGAGUGGAAGUGUCAGACAUGUAAGGCGAUUCACCAGGCCGGCCUUAGAGUCGGGUUGUUUGCGAAUGCAGCCCAAAGCGGGUGGUAAACUCCAUCCAAGGCUAAAUACUAGCACGAGUCCGAUAGCGAACAAGUACCGUGAGGGAAAGUUGAAAAGUACUUUGAAGAGAGAGUAAACAGUACGUGAAACCGCAUAGAGGUAAACGGGUGGCGUCAAGCUGCAAGCCCAGAGAAUUCAGUCGGUCAGGGUGUUGUUAUGCGCCCAGCGCAUCUAUCAGUCAGUGUAGAGUUUGGCUAGUCCGCUGGCAAAUGGCGGGCCCAGCUGUCAAAGGCUGGGAUUUGUGUACCGGGAGGUAGCCGGAGCAAGCUAGCCGUCUGUUGGACUGCCUGGCCGAUGCACUUUCUCUGUUUGGUGAACACCACGACCGGUGGUACUGCCAGUCUGCCAUAGCCAACCUCGUCACACGAUCUGGCCUUCUCGGUUGGAGCGUGUGGCGAUGACACAGGCAAUUUCAGUGCACGGUGCCUGUGUGUUUUCCGCACACGGGCAUGUUAUCGGGUACUGGUUGUAAACGGGUUUCCCGGUGGGCUAUGGUGGUAUGAAUAACUGUGCAGGGCACCGGAGUUUUCGGUCGAAGUCGAGGGACUUGUUCCCGAGGCUAGCUGGACACGCGUUAAAAGGCGAUGCUGCCAAGUCCUGCCAGUCGUUGGGUCUGAUUGUCGUGUCGCCUGCCAAAAUGGCGGGUCCGGCAUUGGCCUGGCGUUGGAUGGUGUCUGUGGGCGGUGUUGUCAGUGUUCAGUUGAACGGCCCAAUAGUCUGUGGUGUAGUGGUAGACGAGCUACCCGACCCGUCUUGAAACACGGACCAAGGAGUUUAACAUGCGCGCGAGUCAUUGGGUCCUACGAAACCUAAAGGCGCAGUGAAAGUGAAGCCUCGACAUAUAUUGUUCUCGGGGUGUGGUGAGAUCCUGCUGUUUCUCGCAUACAUGUUGUCCAGCACUGGGCUAACUAGACGAGCAGUAGGCGCAUCACCGGCCCGUCCCAUGAUGUGGUUACUUGUCGGGUGGCUUUGCUCACUUUGUGAGAAUUGUCGUUCUGGCGGGUACGUCAUCGGGGCGGAGCAUGAGCGCGCAUGUUGAGACCCGAAAGAUGGUGAACUAUGCUUGCGUAGGUUGAAGCCAGAGGAAACUCUGGUGGAGGACCGCAGCGAUUCUGACGUGCAAAUCGAUCGUCAAACGUGAGUAUAGGGGCGAAAGACUAAUCGAACCAUCUAGUAGCUGGUUCCCUCCGAAGUUUCCCCCAGGAUAGCA
This 1540-nucleotide ribosomal RNA is filed under the name Caryophyllaeides fennica. Its description in RNAcentral is "LSU rRNA". It matches the Rfam family "Eukaryotic large subunit ribosomal RNA", at positions 16 to 983 of the family's 3401-position model. The record is from RNAcentral. Lineage: Eukaryota; Metazoa; Platyhelminthes; Cestoda; Caryophyllidea; Lytocestidae.